CCUUUGUACACACCGCCCGUCGCUACUACCGAUUGAAUGGCUCAGUGAGGUUUUCGGACUGGCCCAGGGAGGCGGGUGACUGCCACCCAGGUGCCGGAAAGUUACCCAAACUCGGUCAUUUAGAGG
This 126-nucleotide ribosomal RNA is filed under the name Phaeoisaria fasciculata. RNAcentral's name for it is "partial small subunit ribosomal RNA". It matches the Rfam family "Eukaryotic small subunit ribosomal RNA", at positions 1657 to 1779 of the family's 1831-position model. Lineage: Eukaryota; Fungi; Ascomycota; Sordariomycetes; Pleurotheciales; Pleurotheciaceae. The record is from RNAcentral.